RNAcentral lists this ribosomal RNA (253 nucleotides) under uncultured bacterium. Its description in RNAcentral is "partial 16S ribosomal RNA". It matches the Rfam family "Bacterial small subunit ribosomal RNA", at positions 524 to 776 of the family's 1533-position model. The record is from RNAcentral.
AACGUAGACCUCAUGCGUUAUCCGGAUUUAUUGGGCGUAAAGAGCAUGUAGGAGGUUUUGUGCGUCUUCUGUUAAAGCCCGGGGCCUAACCCCGGAAGUGCAGGAGAUACGACAGAACUAGAGGAGGUUAGAGGUGCAUGGAACUCACGGUGUAGGGGUGAAAUCCGUAGAUAUCGGGGGGAACACCAAAGGCGAAGGCAGUGCACUGGGACCUUACUGACGCUGAGAUGCGAAAGCGUGGGGAGCAAAAAGG